RNAcentral lists this ribosomal RNA (345 nucleotides) under Triticum aestivum (bread wheat). Its description in RNAcentral is "partial small subunit ribosomal RNA". Lineage: Eukaryota; Viridiplantae; Streptophyta; Magnoliopsida; Poales; Poaceae. The record is from RNAcentral.
AUGUACAGAGAAUACAGAUCUAUUUAUGGCUCACCCAUCGCCCGUAUUUAUUCCUCGGAGACUAACACAUGGAGUGGUCUCAUCUCUAUAGAGGCUUCACGUAAUAACUGUGUUUAUUUUGGUCCUAGCACCCUUGUUGGUAGUGUCCUUUACUGGCCUUCACACAAUUGGGGUGACAAGAUACUUGAGUUUGAUUUGCACACGCAGAACCUUUGCCAUCAUAAAGAGGCCUCCCGGUGUGAAUUAUUCCGACAACUUCCAGAUCAUCCAGUCAGAAAAUGGCGCCGUUGGUAUUGCCGUGUUGUCUUACAAUACCCUUCGACUAUGGCAGGGAAUGGUCAAUAA